GGCAUAAGAAAAGGCAUAAAAGAAGGACCCAUGUGCUCUUGCUGUGGACUCAGACUCGCCAUCAGCUGCCCGCACACCAACAGCCCACCCAUCAACGGGGAGGCCCCUGAUGCCAACUGCCGGGGAAGAUGAGAUUUGACCUGGUGCAGUUCAAGCAUGGUGAUUCUUCAUGACGUGCAGAGUUAUGGCUAUAAAAACCUCAGAGACAAACCAAGCAAGUUUUAUUUCCAGAAAAACAAUCACAAGAAUUCCAAAAUUUUGAGGGCUGAGGGUCGUGUGUGUCUUCCCCCCAACUCUCCCCCCGCUCCCCUCUCAUCUUCCCAUCUUGUAAAACAUCACAACAAAACCAAGCAUCUUCGGGAACUUUGAAGAAAACUGGGAAAUUUUCCCAUCCAUUUCCCAUCCACGU
Molecule: long non-coding RNA, 409 nt
Organism: Cygnus olor (mute swan)
Lineage: Eukaryota; Metazoa; Chordata; Aves; Anseriformes; Anatidae
Exons: 2
Source: RefSeq, a predicted model, not a curated record